AUAACCUACGGGGGGCAGCAGUAGGGAAUCUUCCACAAUGGGCGAAAGCCUGAUGGAGCAACGCCGCGUGAAGGAAGAAGGCUUUCGGGUUGUAAACUUCUUUUAAGAGGGAAGAGAAGAAGACGGUACCUCUUGAAUAAGCCACGGCUAACUACGUGCCAGCAGCCGCGGUAAUACGUAGGUGGCAAGCGUUGUCCGGAUUUACUGGGUGUAAAGGGCGUGCAGCCGGGCUGACAAGUCAGAUGUGAAAUCCCGCGGCUCAACCGCGGAACUGCAUUUGAAACUGUCAGUCUUGAGUACCGGAG
This 305-nucleotide ribosomal RNA is filed under the name uncultured bacterium. Its description in RNAcentral is "bacterial SSU rRNA". It matches the Rfam family "Bacterial small subunit ribosomal RNA", at positions 334 to 654 of the family's 1533-position model. The record is from RNAcentral.